Long non-coding RNA from Suricata suricatta (meerkat), 2502 nucleotides. RefSeq lists it as uncharacterized. The record is from RefSeq and is a predicted model, not a curated record. The transcript is spliced from 4 exons. Lineage: Eukaryota; Metazoa; Chordata; Mammalia; Carnivora; Herpestidae.
UCCGGUGAGGUCCAGGAGCUGCUGUGGGCAAUUGUAUCAGAGGCUAGGCUUCCUUGGAAUGUCCGCCAGCACACUCGGCGAAUGUUUCGACGAUAAAAGGCACAUGAAACAGAAACUGCAGUUGCUAACUACUGCGGCCUUAUUUAUGACAUAAAUUGCGCUCAGCGUGUUCGCACGUGGGAACCCAACUGCCUGGGUCAAAGGAGCGGGUCGCGGCAGCCCCGCGCCUGCGCAGGGGAGACGCGGCGCUGUUGGUAGGCAGUCUGCUCUGUGACGACGUAGAGACUGUGUCGCCACCGCCGUCCUGCUCCUCAGGGACUGUCUGGUUCCCGCCCACAGUGAGGGAGGCGGGCCGCCCGUCGGACGGCGGAGGUCGCGCCGGGCGGAAGUCCCUGGAGGCCGCUGUUGACGCCUCUAGGGGACUGGGAGGCACUCCCUAUGCCGGAAGUGGUAGCGUGGCCGAGCGGUCUAAGGCGCUGGAUUAAGGCUCCAGUCUCUUCGGGGGCGUGGGUUCGAAUCCCACCGCUGCCAAGGAUUUUCUUGCUUUACGCUCGGUGUGAACGGUUCCCGCAUUCUCAGGCCCCUUUUACUCCUUUGGCUCGUGUUUAUUCCGGAUACAGCCGUAACCAGCCAGGAGGUGCUUUUGUGCUCGCGGUCCUCAAGACCUGAGUCAGACUCUGGCAAUCUCUUUGUACCUCCAGGCCUAUCCUCGGACCCCUCCGAAGGGAUAAGGUGUCUCCGGAAUAGCCGCUGGUCUUGCGGCCUCGGCAGCGGGCUGUCUGGUGUCUGGAGCCCUAUCAUGCAGAUCUGACAAGACACUCCCGCGGAGGGCGCCAGUGCUGGUCCCAUGACCGCGGACACACCCGCCAGCGCCAGACACCGACAAGGCCCACAAGACUGCACCCUGCUUUAGAUGCCAUUUGCAAGUCCCAGCCCUCCCUUCCAUCUGAUGGGCCGGCUACAAAUCAGGGCUUCCCGAGAGUCCCUCCUCGGGUUCCAUAAUUUGCUUGAAUGGCUCCGAGCUCAGGCCCGCGUCUGACUUUCAUUUGCUGGUUUAUCAUAAACAGACAUAACUCAGAAACAGCCAAAUGGAGGAGAUGCACAGAGUCAGGAGCUGCCCUUUGUUCCGGACUGUCUUUGAAGAAUAUUCACUUAAAGAAUGGCCUCGACAGGUAGAGAGGUGUGUCCACCUGGUGUGAAGGUCAGGUUCUUCCUGAGAUCCCUGUGCGCAGGGCUCCUGUCCUGUAAUGCUGGCCGCCGUGCGUGCAGGCGUCCGUCUCCGGUCACCCUGUGGGAGCUGGCGCUUGAGGAAUCUGCAGAGGCUGAGUCUGCUCCUGCUGUUACGAUGUCCAGGAGACACCAGAAGAUUCCUGGAAAGUAAUCGGGGUUGCUCACUGCAGGACUGAGAGUCAGCCGGGAGCCUUUCCAGCAGGUCUCAGGAUCCUAGCAGAAAUCUAGGAGGACACGGCCAUGUUGCAGACGGAUGGGUGUGGAGGAGUCUAGAAGGCUUCUAUUUGGGCUCAAUAGCGAGGCCUCUGAAUUGUCACAAGAUAUGGUCAGGCCUGCCACGCCCUGCGGGUAACUGGCGUCGGAAGCGCAGCUCUCUAGUCAACAACACAAAACAUCCACGCCCAAGGACGGUCCGGAAUUUAAACUGGACUCGCCCGGUGCCAGAUUCUGGUAAAGCUCACUGGAGAAGUGGGAUAAAGGGCUGUUCCGUCAGGUUCUCACGCCGGGCUGAGGACUUGGAGCCCCAGAUCCCAAUGGGGGUGCAGAAAUAAAUGUCCUGAACACGUGUAUGCAUUUCCCAAGAGCAUGUGCCUGUGGUGAAAAACAGAACCUCGGAUUUUCCAGGAGAGCGUGGUAUUUUGUCCUGGAGCAUUAGAGUCCAACUCCGGCCACGUGUGCACGCUGGGGACAGGGGGCUCCUGGGAUUGUUGACCAGCAAACAAACAGACCUCGACUCAAAAAUCAUUGGAAAGCCACCGCCAGUUCUCCAGACGUAUCCUGAAUUCUGUCCUUAGGUCGUAUUAUCUCACCAGGAAGCCGCAUAUCCAGAAUGUUCUUCUCCACAGAGACAAUGACACUGAGUUAUGUAUUUAAUGUUUUCAUCUUGGCUUUCACUAAUAAAUAUGUAAGAAAUGGCCACAUAAAUAAAAGGAAAUUUCCUGUAGAAACUGAGCCUAAGGAACAAUGUUUCAAUCAAUCCUUCUUUUUAAAAAAUAAACUAUAAAAAAUAAAAAUAAACUAUAUUGUUACUAGAAAAUUGCAUGUCUUGGACACUUUGUCCUGCAGUCUUAAUAACCUGUAGCCACUUCCCAAAAUGUUUUCUGUGAAACAGGAGCCCACGAAGAUGCUUCAAACAGGACUCCGUGGUCAGUUAGUUUUGUAAAGUAAUCGUUUUAUUGUUAAGAUUUAGAAAAUAUAUUAGCAUAUUAUUAAACACUGAGAAGUGUUUAAUUAAGAAAACACACCUAGACAGCCUUUCCUAAAGUCAUUAUU